GAUGAACGCUGGCGGCGUGCCUAAUACAUGCAAGUCGAGCGAACAGACGAGGAGCUUGCUCCUCUGACGUUAGCGGCGGACGGGUGAGUAACACGUGGAUAACCUACCUAUAAGACUGGGAUAACUUCGGGAAACCGGAGCUAAUACCGGAUAAUAUAUUGAACCGCAUGGUUCAAUAGUGAAAGACGGUUUUGCUGUCACUUAUAGAUGGAUCCGCGCCGCAUUAGCUAGUUGGUAAGGUAACGGCUUACCAAGGCAACGAUGCGUAGCCGACCUGAGAGGGUGAUGGGCCACAGUGAAACUGAGACACGGGCCAGACACCUAGGGGAGGCAGAAGUAGGGAAUCUUCCGCAAGGGGGGAAAGUUUGAAGGAGCAACGCCGGGUGAGUGAAGAAGGGCUUCGGAUCGUAAAACUCUGUUAUGGGGGAAAAACAAAUGUGUAAGUAAAUAUGCACGUCUUGAGGGUAACUAAUAAGAAAGCCACGGCUAACUACGU
RNAcentral lists this ribosomal RNA (496 nucleotides) under uncultured bacterium. Its description in RNAcentral is "partial 16S ribosomal RNA". It matches the Rfam family "Bacterial small subunit ribosomal RNA", at positions 28 to 506 of the family's 1533-position model. The record is from RNAcentral.